This 585-nucleotide ribosomal RNA is filed under the name uncultured bacterium. RNAcentral describes it as "bacterial SSU rRNA". It matches the Rfam family "Bacterial small subunit ribosomal RNA", at positions 338 to 916 of the family's 1533-position model. The record is from RNAcentral.
CCUACGGGAGGCAGCAGUGGGGAAUAUUGGACAAUGGGCGAAAGCCUGAUCCAGCCAUGCCGCGUGUGUGAAGAAGGUCUUCGGAUUGUAAAGCACUUUAAGUUGGGAGGAAGGGCAUUAACCUAAUACGUUAGUGUUUUGACGUUACCGACAGAAUAAGCACCGGCUAACUCUGUGCCAGCAGCCGCGGUAAUACAGAGGGUGCAAGCGUUAAUCGGAAUUACUGGGCGUAAAGCGCGCGUAGGUGGUUUGUUAAGUUGGAUGUGAAAUCCCCGGGCUCAACCUGGGAACUGCAUUCAAAACUGACUGACUAGAGUAUGGUAGAGGGUGGUGGAAUUUCCUGUGUAGCGGUGAAAUGCGUAGAUAUAGGAAGGAACACCAGUGGCGAAGGCGACCACCUGGACUAAUACUGACACUGAGGUGCGAAAGCGUGGGGAGCAAGCAGGAUUAGAUACCCUGGUAGUCCACGCCGUAAACGAUGUCAACUAGCCGUUGGGAGCCUUGAGCUCUUAGUGGCGCAGCUAACGCAUUAAGUUGACCGCCUGGGGAGUACGGCCGCAGGUUAAAACUCAAAGGAAUUGACGG